UACGUAGGGGGCAAGCGUUGUCCGGAUUUAUUGGGCGUAAAGAGCGUGUAGGCGGCCGUACAGGUCAGCUGUGAAAACUCGAGGCUCAACCUCGAGACGUCGGUUGAAACCGUACGGCUAGAGUCCGGAAGAGGAGAGUGGAAUUCCCGGUGUAGCGGUGAAAUGCGCAGAUAUCGGAAAGAACACCCGUGGCGAAGGCGGCUCUCUGGGACGGUACUGACGCUGAGACGCGAAAGCGUGGGGAGCGAACAGG
Molecule: ribosomal RNA, 253 nt
Filed under: uncultured bacterium
Lineage: Bacteria
Description: partial 16S ribosomal RNA
Rfam family: Bacterial small subunit ribosomal RNA
Source: RNAcentral